UAAGGAAUAUUGGUCAAUGGACGCAAGUCUGAACCAGCCAUGCCGCGUGCAGGAUGAAGGCCCUCUGGGUUGUAAACUGCUUUUAUCUGGGACGAAAAACGGACUUUCUAGUUCACUUGACGGUACCAGAGGAAUAAGCACCGGCUAACUCCGUGCCAGCAGCCGCGGUAAUACGGAGGGUGCAAGCGUUAUCCGGAUUUACUGGGUUUAAAGGGUGCGUAGGUGGAUAGGUAAGUCAGUGGUGAAAUCUUCAAGCUUAACUUGGAAACUGCCAUUGAUACUAUUUAUCUUGAAUACUUUGGAGGUAAGCGGAAUAUGUCAUGUAGCGGUGAAAUGCUUAGAUAUGACAUAGAACACCAAUUGCGAAGGCAGCUUACUACACAGUUAUUGACACUGAGGCACGAAAGCGUGGGGAUCAAACA
RNAcentral lists this ribosomal RNA (422 nucleotides) under uncultured Chitinophagaceae bacterium. RNAcentral's name for it is "bacterial SSU rRNA". It matches the Rfam family "Bacterial small subunit ribosomal RNA", at positions 355 to 774 of the family's 1533-position model. The record is from RNAcentral. Lineage: Bacteria; Pseudomonadati; Bacteroidota; Chitinophagia; Chitinophagales; Chitinophagaceae.